CGGCAGGCAGGACGCCUGAGACCGAGGGAGGCACGGCUCCCUGUCUGGCUCGCCUGCCUUGACUGGCCGGCCUGACCGUGUCUUCAGUCUCCAUCAGAGACCUGCUGCGUGUGGACACGCAUAGCAGUUUUCCCAACAGAGACGCAUCGAAUGCCCUUUUCCGGAAACAACACUUCCAGAAAUGUGCUGACCAAGAAGAAACAGCAGGGGUGAGAGAGGUGGCCAAAGCACUCACAACAUCUUAACAAGCACUAAUUAAAUGUCUUUCUUUAAAAAUAUGGCUUAAGAAAGCCAAAUACAAUAACUUCUUACAGAUGGUUUUAGGAACUAAC
Molecule: long non-coding RNA, 332 nt
Filed under: Felis catus (domestic cat)
Lineage: Eukaryota; Metazoa; Chordata; Mammalia; Carnivora; Felidae
Description: lncRNA (ENSFCAG00000047802.1)
Source: RNAcentral